This 318-nucleotide ribosomal RNA is filed under the name uncultured bacterium. RNAcentral describes it as "bacterial SSU rRNA". It matches the Rfam family "Bacterial small subunit ribosomal RNA", at positions 29 to 334 of the family's 1533-position model. The record is from RNAcentral.
AAAACACUAAUGAACGCUGGCGGCAUGCCUUACACAUGCAAGUCGAACGGCAGCAUGACCUAGCUUGCUAGGUUGAUGGCGAGUGGCGAACGGGUGAGUAAUGCAUCGGAACGUGCCUUUUAGUGGGGGAUAACGUAGCGAAAGUUACGCUAAUACCGCAUAUUCUCUGAGGAGGAAAGCAGGGGACCUUCGGGCCUUGCGCUAGAAGAGCGGCCGAUGUCGGAUUAGCUAGUUGGUGAGGUAAAGGCUCACCAAGGCAACGAUCCGUAGCGGGUCUGAGAGGAUGAUCCGCCACACUGGGACUGAGACACGGCCCAG